Theobroma cacao (cacao) is the source of this 3488-nucleotide non-coding RNA. The record is from RefSeq and is a predicted model, not a curated record. NCBI's taxonomy places the organism in Eukaryota, Viridiplantae, Streptophyta, Magnoliopsida, Malvales, Malvaceae.
AAGUCGAAUAUAAGGCGCCAGAGGAAAGCGCGGGUACCAGACUUUUAAACUUUAGCAAAGGGCGAGCUGAAAAAUGUGAUGCUGAAAGCAAUGCGCGGGAGUCACCGUUGCAGACAGUUACAUUCCAUCAGCAAACUCCAACCAAAGCCAAACCACUAUCCAUCAAAGAAAGCAUUAGCUCAGAAGAAACACAACUACAACAAACCCCAACCAGUUGUUGACUCCGACAUAAAGCAAUGGAACCUAGCAAUAUCUACCCACAUGCGCAAUGCCCAGCUGGACUCAGCUUUCCGUGUCUUUAACUCAAUGCCACGUCGAAGCUCUGUUUCUUACAAUGCCAUGAUAUCUGGGUACCUGAUGAAUGAUAAGUUUGAGCUUGCAAGAAACUUGUUUGAUGAAAUGCCUGAGAGAGACUUGGUUUCUUGGAAUGUAAUGAUUAGUGGGUGUGUAAGGAACAAUAACCUUGCUGCUGCGAAGGAGUUGUUUGAACAAAUGCCUGAAAGGGAUGUUGUUUCAUGGAACGCUAUGUUGUCUGGAUAUGCGCAGAAUGGUUGUGUUGACAAGGCGAGAAAGAUUUUUGAUAGAAUGCCUACUAAGAAUUCAAUUUCGUGGAAUGCUUUGCUUGCGACUUAUGUGCAGAAUGGGAGGAUGGAAGAGGCUUGUAGGCUUUUUGAAUCGAAGGCAGAUUGGGAUUUGGUUUCUUGGAAUUGUUUGAUGGGUGGGUUUGUGAAGACAAAGAGGUUCAUUGAUGCUAGAAGGAUUUUUGAUAGAAUCCCUUUCCGAGAUAAAAUCUCUUGGAAUACUAUUAUUACAGGUUAUGCACAGAAUGGUGAGAUUGAAGAAGCUAGGAGAUUGUUCCAUGAGUCCCCGGUUCGAGAUGUAUUUACGUGGACAGCAAUGGUGUCAGGUUACGUGCAGAAUGGAAUGGUUGACAAGGCAAGGGAAUUUUUUGAAGAAAUGCCAGAAAAGAAUGCUGUUUCAUGGAAUGCAAUGAUUGCAGGGUAUGUGCAAUGUAAGAGAAUGGACAUGGCUAGGAAAUUGUUUGACAAAAUGCCUUGCCAAAAUGUCACUUCUUGGAAUACAAUUAUCACAGGGUAUGCUCAGAGUGGUGAGAUAGCUCAUGCUAGGGAAUUGUUUGAUCGGAUGCCUAGGCGUGAUCCUGUGUCUUGGGCAGCCAUGAUUGCAGGUUAUGCUCAAAGUGGUUAUGAUGAGGAGGCUUUAUGCCUUUUUGUAGAGAUGAAAAGAGAUGGAGAAAGGUUGAAUAGGUCCUCAUUUGCAUGUGCCUUGAGCACAUGUGCCCAUAUUGCUGCUUUAGAAAUGGGGAAACAGUUGCAUGGGCGGCUGGUUAAGGCAGGAUAUGAAAGUGGGUCCUUUGUGGGAAAUGCACUUCUUUUAAUGUACUGUAAGUGUGGAGGCAUAGAAGAAGCUUGCAGUGCAUUUGAAGAAAUAAUGGAGAAGGACGUUGUCUCAUGGAAUACAAUGAUUGCCGGUUAUGCAAGACAUGGAUUUGGCAAAGAGGCUCUAAAGGUUUUUGAGUCAAUGAAGGCAGCUGGUGUCAAACCAGAUGAUACCACUAUGGUUGGAGUAUUGUCUGCUUGUAGUCAUGCUGGCUUAGUGGAUAGGGGCAGGGAAUAUUUCUACUUUAUGAACCAGGAUUAUGCCAUAAAAGCAAAUUCACGACAUUAUACUUGCAUGGUUGAUCUUCUCGGUCGAGCUGGCCGAUUGGAUGAGGCCCUGAAGUUCAUCAGAAACAUGCCUUUCGAACCAGAUGCAGCAACAUGGGGUGCUUUACUUGGUGCAAGCAGAAUUCAUGGCAAUACCAAACUAGCUGAAAUGGCUGCUCAGUUGAUUUUUGAAAUGGAACCUGAAAAUGCAGGAAUGUAUGUUCUUCUCUCAAAUUUAUAUGCAGCUUCUGGUAGAUGGGCCGAUGUUAGUAGGAUGAGAUUGCAAAUGAGGGAUACUGGUGUGAAGAAAGUACCUGGGUGUAGUUGGCUUGAGGUACAGAGCAAGAUCCAUACGUUUUCAGUUGGAGACUCAUGCCACCCAGAUAGGGAUAAAAUCUAUGCCUACUUGGAAGAAUUGGAUUUAAAAAUGAAGCAGGAGGGCUAUGUUUCCUCAACAAAUUUGAUUUUGCAUGAUGUAGAUAACGAAGAGAAGGAGCACAUGCUCAAGUAUCACAGUGAAAAAUUAGCUGUGGCAUUUGGUAUUCUCUCUAUACCUGCUGGAAGACCAAUACGAGUGAUAAAAAACUUACGUGUUUGUGAAGACUGCCACAAUGCCAUCAAAUACAUAUCAAAGAUUGUGGGUAGGUUGAUUAUCUUAAGGGAUUCUAACCGCUUUCACCAUUUUAGGGAGGGUUCAUGUUCUUGCGGGGAUUAUUGGUGACUGGUGAGAGUUAAGAGACUGUUCUAAGCAGAAAAGCUAAGGAUUGAUGCUGCUAAUUUACAUGUCUUUAAUCAACAAAUUUUUUCAUAUAUACAUAUUUUUUGGAUUCUUGUUAGAUGCUUCCAAGUUUGGAAAGAAUAAGGUGGACAGUUCUGCUGCAUCUGGAAAGAGCCUAGUUCCUUGAAGGCUUCAUCAACAUAUAGAAGUUCAGUAACUUUAAGAUUAUCAUGAUAUUUUUUGAUGGAUUAUGGUUGAUUAUUUGGAGCUAAUAUUGGCCCAUGAUCAAUAAUGGGAAAUUAAAGAUACUAUAAAGAAGGUCAUUAAUUUGGGCAUCCAUCGCGGAAAUGUCUGUUUUGUGUACUUGGCAUGUGAGACAAGAUUGUGCCAUGUUCUAGCUUGCUUUGAAUCUGAGUAAGCUUGGGGAUCAAUUCAUGAUAGAAUGGAGAGAAAAGUGUUGGUUGAUUUUUAAGUUGAAUGUUUGAAUGGUUAUCCUUUACAAAGCCUUUUGCAUAAUGCUGAAUAAAGAAAACUUUUCACAGGUUGAGGUAGGAUAUAUGACUUCACAUAAAGAACAGGUUUUCAGUUUCACAUCCUUCAUGUAUAAACUGUCCGUUUGCCUUUCUCAGGCAUCUGUUUUGGAGUCGUGGGGCAAGAGCAAGUUCAGGAAAAUUCUAUGCAGAUCUUAGAAAGGAGUUUGAGCUGCCGCAUGACUAUGGGACAGAAAAGAUAAAAACAAUUGCAAACUGAUCAAAUCAGUUGACAAGCAUGGUUAGAGGAACAGAAGACCAAACACGUGGACAACUUGAGAUUUGCAACAACCCAAGUUUGGUGGUGUAAAGGUGUUCUUGUGAUAAAGAGAGGAAGCAUUGCAAACAAGUAAAAGAUGUAACGGAAGCAACAAAGAGGAAGAUCGAAGCAGUUCUUAAAGUAUUGAGUGUCGUAACAGGUGGAAGAGAAUAAGAAGAGAAUUGCUGAAGAUGUAUAAAACGGUUAGAAAGAAAAGUUUUGCGUGAGAAUGAGGUAGUUCUGGGAAAGUCCCUUAAAUGAAUUGUGAAAGAUCUAUAUAUAGUAUCAAAGAUCGCAGUUACUCAAGAAUGGGUUUU